AGCUCGUAGUUGGAGUUCAGGGCGAGCUCAGCUGGUCGGCCUAAUGGGUCAGAACUGGUUGACUCUCCCUUGGUUGUGGAUCCCUCCGGAGUUAAUUCUUCGGGUGUGGAGUCCACAUCGUUUACCUUGAAAAAAUUAGAGUGUUCAAAGCAGGCGUUUGCUUGAAUAUAUUAGCAUGGAAUAAUGGAAUAGGACGCUGGUUCUAUUUUGUUGGUUUUGAGAACCAGAGUAAUGAUUAAUAGGGACAGUUGGGGGCAUUCAUAUUUCAUUGUCAGAGGUGAAAUUCUUGGAUUUAUGAAAGAUGAACUUCUGCGAAAGCAUUUGCCAAGGAUGUUUUCAUUAAUCAAGAACGAAAGUU
Molecule: ribosomal RNA, 358 nt
Filed under: uncultured eukaryote
Lineage: Eukaryota
Description: SSU rRNA
Rfam family: Eukaryotic small subunit ribosomal RNA
Source: RNAcentral